GGGGGGACAGAGAGAUCAGGUGAGAGGUUUUUUAUGUUUGGCGGAAAGGGAGGAGCAAGGCGGGAUCAGAGAAAGGGCGCAGAGAUCUGACCGUCGAUCUGGAUAGGUUCCUGAUGUGGGUCGUCGGAUCGAAGCUUUGACCAAGAGACGCCCGGUGCGACACUCUGGUUCAACGCAUGUGCCUCGUGGCUAAUUUAUUGUGCUGUAUUCCGCGACAUCCCCUAAUCCUUGUGCGCCCCGGCGAGACUAAAUUGUUUCUACUUGAAAAUGUUGGCGGCAUCAAUUGAAAUCGAGUCGAUUCCGACCGGCCCGGACCGGACCGGACCGGACCGGACGACCAGAUGUUCCUGAGAGAUGGGAGGAACGGUGGGGCAGUCCAUCAAUCGAGUACGGAGGCAGGAUUUGAGUAGGAUUGGGCUCACUUCCAAGCCAAGACAGGUUU
Molecule: long non-coding RNA, 442 nt
Organism: Musa acuminata AAA Group (dessert banana)
Lineage: Eukaryota; Viridiplantae; Streptophyta; Magnoliopsida; Zingiberales; Musaceae
Exons: 3
Source: RefSeq, a predicted model, not a curated record